Molecule: long non-coding RNA, 425 nt
Filed under: Equus caballus (horse)
Lineage: Eukaryota; Metazoa; Chordata; Mammalia; Perissodactyla; Equidae
Description: lncRNA (ENSECAG00000028794.2)
Source: RNAcentral
CGAUUCCUCCUCGAUCACAACCACAACGUGGGCAGGAGCGGACGGGGCGGAGCCGCGGGGGCCGGGAGACGGGUGCUAGUAUAUAAACUUGUAAUUGGCUCUGGCUCCCGGCUCCGGGCACUGGGCGAUGUUUCCAACCAGAUGGAUUGUGAGGCCCGGCAGCUCCCUAGUCCCUUUUCUUCCCCCUCCUCCCAGCGUCCCCUCGCUGCCCAAGCCCCACCCUUCGGCCUUCGCAAGUCUACCAAAAUUUCUCUUUCCAGUCCUCCCCUGCAUGACGGAUGGCACCCAGAAGGCACUAUUAUUUGAAAAUGGAAGGUUUGGCGAACGAUUAAUAGUGUGAACAAGAUGUCAGGAAGCCCAGCCUCCUCUCAUGGAUUCUCUGGCAUUUUAGAAGCACGUGUUUACAAACAACAACCAUGUCCAUC